GAUGAACGCUGGCGGCGUGCCUAAUACAUGCAAGUCGAGCGAAAAGACGAGGAGCUUGCUCCUCUGACGUUAGCGGCGGACGGGUGAGUAACACGUGGAUAACCUACCUAUAAGACUGGGAUAACUUCGGGAAACCGGAGCUAAUACCGGAUAAUAUAUUGAACCGCAUGGUUCAAUAGUGAAAGACGGUUUUGCUGUCACUUAUAGAUGGAUCCGCGCCGCAUUAGCUAGUUGGUAAGGUAACGGCUUACCAAGGCAACGAUGCGUAGCCGACCUGAGAGGGUGAUCGGCCACACUGGAACUGAGACACGGUCCAGACUCCUACGGGAGGCAGCAGUAGGGAAUCUUCCGCAAUGGGCGAAAGCCUGACGGAGCAACGCCGCGUGAGUGAUGAAGGUCUUCGGAUCGUAAAACUCUGUUAUUAGGGAAGAACAAAUGUGUAAGUAACUAUGCACAUCUUGACGGUACCUAAUCAGAAAGCCACGGCUAACUACGUG
This 497-nucleotide ribosomal RNA is filed under the name uncultured bacterium. RNAcentral's name for it is "partial 16S ribosomal RNA". It matches the Rfam family "Bacterial small subunit ribosomal RNA", at positions 28 to 507 of the family's 1533-position model. The record is from RNAcentral.